Molecule: long non-coding RNA, 308 nt
Organism: Hyaena hyaena (striped hyena)
Lineage: Eukaryota; Metazoa; Chordata; Mammalia; Carnivora; Hyaenidae
Exons: 5
Source: RefSeq, a predicted model, not a curated record
AGGCGGGGCUCCCCUCGGCUUCAGGCUGUCCUUUCCCCUGCGGCCUCUGCUCUGGCUGGAGUACGCGGGCCGAGCUCCAGACACGUGCGGAGAGGCCAGCCCGUGGGCCUUGGACAGAUGCAGCCCCAGGAUGACUUGAAAGUAGGGCAUCCUUGGCCCUCCUGAAGAGAGGAAAUUUAUGGCAGGUGGACCGUCUGUCCGGCAUUCUCAGAUGCCUUUACCUGAGUGAGAAAUCUGCCUCCAUCAGAACCUUCAGAUGUCUGACAGCCCAGACCUAUGUGACACCGGGAUAGAGAAAGAGAGUGUAA